CCCUUAGAUGUUCUGGGCCGCACGCGCGCUACACUGACGAAUGCAACGAGCUUAUAACCUUGGCCGAAAGGUCUGGGUAAUCUCCAAAUUUCGUCGUGAUGGGGAUAGAUUAUUGCAAUUAUUAAUCUUCAACGAGGAAUGCCUAGUAAGCGCAAGUCAUCAGCUUGCGUUGAUUACGUCCCUGCCCUUUGUACACACCGCCCGUCGCUCCUACCGAUUGGGUGCUCCGGUGAAUUGUUUGGACUGCGUAUUACGUAUCAGUGGUGUGCGGGAAGCUCUGUGAACCUUAGCACCUAGAGGAAGGAGAAGUCGUAACA
RNAcentral lists this ribosomal RNA (317 nucleotides) under uncultured eukaryote. Its description in RNAcentral is "partial 18S ribosomal RNA". It matches the Rfam family "Eukaryotic small subunit ribosomal RNA", at positions 1470 to 1796 of the family's 1831-position model. The record is from RNAcentral.